RNAcentral lists this ribosomal RNA (543 nucleotides) under Klebsiella aerogenes. Its description in RNAcentral is "partial 23S ribosomal RNA". It matches the Rfam family "Bacterial large subunit ribosomal RNA", at positions 1 to 583 of the family's 2925-position model. The record is from RNAcentral. Lineage: Bacteria; Pseudomonadati; Pseudomonadota; Gammaproteobacteria; Enterobacterales; Enterobacteriaceae.
GGUUAAGCGACUAAGCGUACACGGUGGAUGCCCUGGCAGUCAGAGGCGAUGAAGGACGUGCUAAUCUGCGAAAAGCGUCGGUAAGGUGAUAUGAACCGUUACAGCCGGCGAUGUCCGAAUGGGGAAACCCAGUGUGAUUCGUCACACUAUCGUUAACUGAAUACAUAGGUUAACGAGGCGAACCGGGGGAACUGAAACAUCUAAGUACCCCGAGGAAAAGAAAUCAACCGAGAUUCCCCCAGUAGCGGCGAGCGAACGGGGAGCAGCCCAGAGUCUGAAUCAGCUUGUGUGUUAGUGGAACGGUCUGGAAAGUCCGACGGUACAGGGUGAUAGUCCCGUACACCAAAAUGCACAGGCUGUGAACUCGAAGAGUAGGGCGGGACACGUGGUAUCCUGUCUGAAUAUGGGGGGACCAUCCUCCAAGGCUAAAUACUCCUGACUGACCGAUAGUGAACCAGUACCGUGAGGGAAAGGCGAAAAGAACCCCGGCGAGGGGAGUGAAAAAGAACCUGAAACCGUGUACGUACAAGCAGUGGGAGCACC